UCUUUCUGCCCGGGUGUGAUCGGCAGUAGGGACUUGCAGCUGGACUGGGCUGGCACAGUUUGGGGGAGCGGGCGAGGGCAGGGCUGGAGUGAAAGAGGUUGAGGAAAAUGCUUUGGGAGAAGGGAUUCAGGAGGAGAAUUUCACUUCAUUGUUACGAUUGGUAGCCCUUCUGGGAACUGAGAAUUCACUUCUACCGCGCAGCAGAGACGGUGUUGCGGUGGUCCUUCGUGUCCCCGGCGCACGUGGCUGGGCGAGGACACGAGCGCCGGAUCUGGGAAGAAGAUCAGAGUCUGCGGGGGGACUGCGCUGCAGUGGCCAAGGAGAGAGGAUUUUCCCUACAGUUGCGCCAGACAGGGGAGCAGGAUGACCAAUCACCUGGGAGCCUCCCUCGCCGUCGCAGGAAGCCAACGGCCAUAGCGGGCUCAGCAAGGACAGCAGGACGUGUCUCAAAGGCCAAGAAUGUGGCCAGCACACAGCCACAGGAGAGGACAGACUCCUUCACUUUGGGUCGAACUUCCCAGACAGAGAAAAGCCCAUCAUCAAGAAGGGCUGCCCUUUGGAGGCUGAUCAAGGGACCAGGUGAACUCUGGGCGCCCCUGCCGACUCAGUGAUUCUGAGAUCAACUGAGGCCAGUUUAUGAACUUGGACUAUUCCUGAAGAAUUCUGGGUGUGAGGGGCUUGAAGGGAAAGAGCCUCCACUGAACCAAAGACCACUGACAUGGAUCGCCUUAGGGUGACUUCGGCUGGGUCCUGGAAGCUGCAGCCCUUUUAAAAAUACAAUUUUUGGCUAUGAUUUUCUUGGUUUCUCUCUCCUUUUUUUUGUUUCUUUUA
This 831-nucleotide long non-coding RNA is filed under the name Cavia porcellus (domestic guinea pig). RNAcentral describes it as "lncRNA (ENSCPOG00000031056.1)". The record is from RNAcentral. Lineage: Eukaryota; Metazoa; Chordata; Mammalia; Rodentia; Caviidae.